CAAUAAGCGGAGGAAAAGAAACCAACAGGGAUUGCCUCAGUAACGGCGAGUGAAGCGGCAACAGCUCAAAUUUGAAAUCUGGCUCUUUCAGGGUCCGAGUUGUAAUUUGUAGAAGAUGCUUCGGGUGUGGCUCCGGUCUAAGUUCCUUGGAACAGGACGUCAUAGAGGGUGAGAAUCCCGUAUGUGACUGGCUGCCUCCCCCAUGUGAAGCUCUUUCGACGAGUCGAGUUGUUUGGGAAUGCAGCUCAAAAUGGGUGGUAAAUUUCAUCUAAAGCUAAAUAUUGGCCAGAGACCGAUAGCGCACAAGUAGAGUGAUCGAAAGAUGAAAAGCACUUUGGAAAGAGAGUUAAACAGUACGUGAAAUUGUUGAAAGGGAAGCGCUUGCAAUCAGACUUGCGCGCGGUCGAUCAUCCGAUGUUCUCACCGGUGCACUCGACCGUGCUCAGGCCAGCAUCGGUUUCGGUGGUUGGAUAAAGGCCUUGGGAAUGUGGCUCUCUUCGGGGAGUGUUAUAGCCCUCGGUGCAAUGCAGCCUACCGGGACCGAGG
Molecule: ribosomal RNA, 546 nt
Filed under: Cylindrocephalum aureum
Lineage: Eukaryota; Fungi; Ascomycota; Leotiomycetes; Helotiales; Pezizellaceae
Also listed under: 1 other name
Description: LSU rRNA
Rfam family: Eukaryotic large subunit ribosomal RNA
Source: RNAcentral